This 459-nucleotide ribosomal RNA is filed under the name uncultured bacterium. RNAcentral's name for it is "partial 16S ribosomal RNA". It matches the Rfam family "Bacterial small subunit ribosomal RNA", at positions 338 to 795 of the family's 1533-position model. The record is from RNAcentral.
CCUACGGGCGGCAGCAGUGAGGAAUAUUGGUCAAUGGGCGCGAGCCUGAACCAGCCAAGUCGCGUGAGGGAAGACGGUCCUAUGGAUUGUAAACCUCUUUUGUCGGGGAGCAAAAGACGCCACGCGUGGCGUUCAGAGAGUACCCGAAGAAAAAGCAUCGGCUAACUCCGUGCCAGCAGCCGCGGUAAUACGGAGGAUGCGAGCGUUAUCCGGAUUUAUUGGGUUUAAGGGCGGCGCAGGGGGAAGAUGAAGUCAGCGGUAAAAUUGGGAGGUUCAACCUCUUGGUGCCGUUGAAACUGGUUUUCUUGAGUGAUGGAGAAGUAUGCGGAAUGCGUAGUGUAGCGGUGAAAUGCGUAGAUAUCACGCAGAACUCCGGUUGCGAAGGCAGCAUACCGGCGCUCAACUGACGCUCAUGCACGAAAGUGUGGGUAUCGAACAGGAUUAGAUACCCGAGUAGUC